UACUGAGUCAAUGUGGAGGUUAUAUACAGGGGUACCGGUACUGAGUCAAUGUGGAGGCUAUAUACAGGGGUACCAGUACUGAGUCAGUGUGGAGGCUAUAUACAGGGGGUACCAGUACUGAGUCAGUGUGGAGGCUAUAUACAGGGGGUACCAGUACUGAGUCAGUGUGGAGGCUAUAUACAGGGGGUACCAGUACUGAGUCAGUGUGGAGGCUAUAUACAGGGGGUACCGGUACUGAGUCAGUGUGGAGGCUAUAUACAGGGGGUACCAGUACUGAGUCAGUGUGGAGGCUAUAUACAGGGGGUACCAGUACUGAGUCAGUGUGGAGGCUAUAUACAGGGGGUACCAGUACUGAGUCAGUGUGGAGGCUAUAUACAUGGGGUACCAGUACUGAGUCAGCGUGCUGGGGUACAGGUCAUUUAUACAUGUAGGUAGGGGUGAAGUGACUAUGUAAUACACAUAGGGAAUAGGGUGCCAUUGGGCCCUGAUCUAAAGUAGUACACUAUAUAGAGAAUAGGGUGUAAUUUCACACACAGCCUCUGUCAGGUGUGUCAGCGUUUACUGCUAACCUGACCCCAUAACAACCCAAGCCUGGUCUCUGCUAACCUGACCCCAUAACAACCCA
Molecule: long non-coding RNA, 625 nt
Organism: Oncorhynchus tshawytscha (Chinook salmon)
Lineage: Eukaryota; Metazoa; Chordata; Actinopteri; Salmoniformes; Salmonidae
Source: Ensembl